UGGGGAAUAUUGCACAAUGGGCGCAAGCCUGAUGCAGCGACACCGCGUGAGGGAUGACGGCCUUCGGGUUGUAAACCUCUUUCAGCAGGGACGAAGCGCAAGUGACGGUACCUGCAGAAGAAGCACCGGCCAACUACGUGCCAGCAGCCGCGGUAAUACGUAGGGUGCGAGCGUUGUCCGGAAUUACUGGGCGUAAAGAGCUCGUAGGCGGUUUGUCGCGUCGUCUGUGAAAUUCUGCAGCUUAACUGCAGGCGUGCAGGCGAUACGGGCAGACUUGAGUACUACAGGGGAGACUGGAAUUCCUGGUGUAGCGGUGAAAUGCGCAGAUAUCAGGAGGAACACCGGUGGCGAAGGCGGGUCUCUGGGUAGUAACUGACGCUGAGGAGCGAAAAGCGUGGGUAGCGAACAGGAUUAGAUACCCUGGUAGUCCACGCCGUAAACGGUGGGUACUAGGUGUGGGUUCCAUUUCACGGGAUCCGUGCCGUAGCUAACGCAUUAAGUACCCCGCCUGGGGAGUACGGCCGCAAGGCUAAAAACUC
RNAcentral lists this ribosomal RNA (539 nucleotides) under uncultured bacterium. Its description in RNAcentral is "partial 16S ribosomal RNA". It matches the Rfam family "Bacterial small subunit ribosomal RNA", at positions 355 to 902 of the family's 1533-position model. The record is from RNAcentral.